This 467-nucleotide ribosomal RNA is filed under the name uncultured bacterium. Its description in RNAcentral is "partial 16S ribosomal RNA". It matches the Rfam family "Bacterial small subunit ribosomal RNA", at positions 28 to 507 of the family's 1533-position model. The record is from RNAcentral.
GACGAACGCUGGCGGCGUGCUUAACACAUGCAAGUCGAACGGAAAGGCCCUGCUUUUGUGGGGUGCUCGAGUGGCGAACGGGUGAGUAACACGUGAGUAACCUGCCCUUGACUUUGGGAUAACUUCAGGAAACUGGGGCUAAUACCGGAUAGGAGCUCCUGCUGCAUGGUGGGGGUUGGAAAGUUUCGGCGGUUGGGGAUGGACUCGCGGCUUAUCAGCUUGUUGGUGGGGUAGUGGCUUACCAAGGCUUUGACGGGUAGCCGGCCUGAGAGGGUGACCGGCAACAUGGGGACUGGGAUACGGCCCAGACUCCACGGGAGGCAGCAGUGGGGAAUAUUGCACAAUGGGCGGAAGCCUGAUGCAGCAACGCCGCGUGCGGGAUGACGGCCUUCGGGUUGUAAACCGCUUUCGCCUGUGACGAAGCGUGAGUGACGGUAAUGGGUAAAGAAGCACCGGCUAACUACGUG